UACGUAGGGGGCGAGCGUUGUCCGGAUUCAUUGGGCGUAAAGCGCGCGCAGGCGGUGGCGUGAGCCCGGCGUGAAAGCCCCCAGCUCAACUGGGGGAGGCCGUCGGGGACCGCGCGACUGGAGGCCGGCAGGGGCGAGCGGAAUUCCCGGUGUAGUGGUGGAAUGCGUAGAGAUCGGGAGGAACACCGGUGGCGAAGGCGGCAUCCUGGACCGGUAUUGACGCUGAGGCGCGAAAGCCAGGGGAGCAAACGGGAUUAGAAACCCUAGUAGU
This 271-nucleotide ribosomal RNA is filed under the name uncultured bacterium. RNAcentral's name for it is "partial 16S ribosomal RNA". It matches the Rfam family "Bacterial small subunit ribosomal RNA", at positions 524 to 794 of the family's 1533-position model. The record is from RNAcentral.